RNAcentral lists this ribosomal RNA (635 nucleotides) under Berkleasmium sp. AB-2015. RNAcentral's name for it is "LSU rRNA". It matches the Rfam family "Eukaryotic large subunit ribosomal RNA", at positions 109 to 763 of the family's 3401-position model. Lineage: Eukaryota; Fungi; Ascomycota; Dothideomycetes; Tubeufiales; Tubeufiaceae. The record is from RNAcentral.
UCAAAUUUGAAAUCUGGCUCCUUUGGAGUCCGAGUUGUAUUUGUAGAGGGUGCUUUGGUGUUGGCUAUGGCCUAAGUUCCUUGGAACAGGACGUCACAGAGGGUGAGAACCCCGUAUGUGGCUGCUGGUCUUCACCGUGUAAAGCCCCUUCGACGAGUCGAGUUGUUUGGGAAUGCAGCUCUAAAUGGGAGGUAAAUUUCUUCUAAAGCUAAAUAUUGGCCAGAGACCGAUAGCGCACAAGUAGAGUGAUCGAAAGAUGAAAAGCACUUUGGAAAGAGAGUCAAAAAGCACGUGAAAUUGUUGAAAGGGAAGCGCUUGCAGCCAGACUUGCCCGUAGUCGCUCAUCCGAGCUUUUGCUCGGUGCACUCUUCUGCGGGCAGGCCAGCAUCAGUCCGGGCGGUCGGAUAAAGGCUCUGGGAAUGUAGCUCUCUUCGGGGAGUGUUAUAGCCCAGAGUGUCAUGCGACCAGGCUGGACUGAGGUCCGCGCAUCUGCUAGGAUGCUGGCGUAAUGGCUGUAAGCGGCCCGUCUUGAAACACGGACCAAGGAGUCUAACAUCUAUGCGAGUGUUUGGGUGUCAAGCCCGGGCGCGCAAUGAAAGUGAACGGAGGUGGGAACCCUUCGGGGCGCACCAUCG